This 436-nucleotide ribosomal RNA is filed under the name uncultured prokaryote. RNAcentral's name for it is "partial 16S ribosomal RNA". The record is from RNAcentral.
CCCUAUGGGGUGCUCGAAAUCAAUCAAAGCACGUACUUGGCAGAGAUUGAGCGGAUUUGUCAAAACCUUGGCUAUCGCCCAUUCUGCGAUGCGGCCUUUCAGGAAGUGCGAUUAUUGGACGUGACCGGCGGACCGCAAGGAGAGUUUACGCCAGAUGAGGAUGCAAUCGUGUCUGCUGCCUUUGCUCGGGAUCACGCGCGUAUCCCCGCCUCCGUUCUUGCUUCUGAUGAUUCCUCAGGGGAAGCGUUUGCCUACGGAAAGCACGGGACGGGGGCGAACUUCAACGGCGGGAACUUUGCUAUCACGGGUAUCAACAACCUCACAUGGGCUUCGACCGUGGGAAUCAAGGGCGCGUCUUUGGCAGAGAUCGCGCACAAGACAUAUGACCUUGCCCGUGGGGGGUCUACCAACCUCUCUGUUGUCAUGGCGGGGGGGC